RNAcentral lists this transfer RNA (70 nucleotides) under Shewanella sp. WXL01. RNAcentral's name for it is "tRNA-Val". It matches the Rfam family "tRNA". From Rfam's summary of the family: Transfer RNA (tRNA) molecules are approximately 80 nucleotides in length. Lineage: Bacteria; Pseudomonadati; Pseudomonadota; Gammaproteobacteria; Alteromonadales; Shewanellaceae. The record is from RNAcentral.
GGUCGAUUAGCUCAGCUGGGAGAGCACCUCCCUUACAAGGAGGGGGUCACUGGUUCGAGCCCAGUAUCGA